This 432-nucleotide ribosomal RNA is filed under the name uncultured bacterium. Its description in RNAcentral is "partial 16S ribosomal RNA". It matches the Rfam family "Bacterial small subunit ribosomal RNA", at positions 29 to 507 of the family's 1533-position model. The record is from RNAcentral.
AACGAACGCUGGCGGCAUGCCUAACACAUGCAAGUCGAACGAGACCUUCGGGUCUAGUGGCGCACGGGUGCGUAACGCGUGGGAACCUGCCCUUAGGUUCGGAAUAACUCCCCGAAAGGGGUGCUAAUACCGGAUAAUGUCUUCGGACCAAAGAUUUAUCGCCUUUGGAUGGGCCCGCGUUGGAUUAGCUAGUUGGUAGGGUAAAAGCCUACCAAGGCGACGAUCCAUAGCUGGUCUGAGAGGAUGAUCAGCCACACUGGGACUGAGACACGGCCCAGACUCCUACGGGAGGCAGCAGUGGGGAAUAUUGGACAAUGGGCGAAAGCCUGAUCCAGCAAUGCCGCGUGAGUGAUGAAGGCCUUAGGGUUGUAAAGCUCUUUACCCGGGAUGAUAAUGACAGUACCGGGAGAAUAAGCGCCGGCUAACUCCGUG